CGCGUAGGCGGCUUGGUCAGUCGGAUGUGAAAGCCCCGGGCUUAACCUGGGAAUUGCAUUCGAUACUGCUAAGCUAGAGUGUAGUAGAGGGAAGCGGAAUUCCAGGUGUAGCGGUGAAAUGCGUAGAUAUCUGGAGGAACAUCAGUGGCGAAGGCGGCUUCCUGGACUAACACUGACGCUGAGGUGCGAAAGCGUGGGGAGCAAACA
This 207-nucleotide ribosomal RNA is filed under the name uncultured bacterium. Its description in RNAcentral is "partial 16S ribosomal RNA". It matches the Rfam family "Bacterial small subunit ribosomal RNA", at positions 568 to 774 of the family's 1533-position model. The record is from RNAcentral.